CUCACUUGUGGAAAGAAACAGGUUUAUCUUUAUCAUAUCGGUUCUUGCAGCCGUAGGCGGAGCAGGACUGCACCAUUCUUGUGGAUCUCAAGUCACUUCACUUCUGCUGCCCUAGAAGGCAGCGGAAGAACCACAACCAUCACCCGUCUCCCAUCUCUAAGAUGGCGGAGGCAGCUUCAACCUCACCUCUCGCGAGAAGUUCUCCAACGUCUCUGAUUAGCUCAGAGAUCAGAGGUAGACCCACAGGGGCGAGCAUUUUAGCAAGAAGACAAGACAGUCAUGUGCUGCGAGGCCGAAGCGAAAUUGCGAGUGAUUUUCUUAAGUGAAACCACCGGUGGAUAGUCUGCUUCCCUGCCCCUCUCGCGUAGAUCCCAGCCUGGAGGGUGGACUGUUGAAUAAUUCGGUGGACUCUGUACUGCACUGUUCUGCUUCCUUAAAUGUUGACGUUUCCCUCUGGAUUCUAACUUUUGCCUUUCUUACAGCACCUGGUCCCUUGAACUCAAGUGCCAUGAUUUCUUAAGUGUUUUACUUCCACGAAAAUAUGUUCUCUCUUUUUGAGACAGA
Octodon degus (degu) is the source of this 564-nucleotide long non-coding RNA. RefSeq lists it as uncharacterized. Lineage: Eukaryota; Metazoa; Chordata; Mammalia; Rodentia; Octodontidae. The record is from RefSeq and is a predicted model, not a curated record. The transcript is spliced from 3 exons.